This 66-nucleotide transfer RNA is filed under the name Cucujoidea sp. 35 KM-2017. RNAcentral's name for it is "tRNA-Phe". It matches the Rfam family "tRNA". From Rfam's summary of the family: Transfer RNA (tRNA) molecules are approximately 80 nucleotides in length. The record is from RNAcentral. Lineage: Eukaryota; Metazoa; Arthropoda; Insecta; Coleoptera.
ACUUAAAUAGCUUAAUUAGAGUAUUACAUUGAAGAUGUAAGGGUAAUUUUUAAAAAUUUUUAAGUA